This 391-nucleotide unclassified non-coding RNA is filed under the name soil metagenome. RNAcentral describes it as "partial contains 5.8S ribosomal RNA, internal transcribed spacer 2, and large subunit ribosomal RNA". The stretch from base 1 to 122 matches the Rfam family "5.8S ribosomal RNA", at positions 35 to 154 of the family's 154-position model. The record is from RNAcentral.
GAUGAAGAACGUAGCGAAAUGCGAUACUUGGUGUGAAUUGCAGAAUCCCGUGAACCAUCGAGUCUUUGAACGCAAGUUGCGCCCGAAGCCACUAGGUCGAGGGCACGCCUGCCUGGGCGUCACACGCCGUUGCCCCCCCAUCUACUCCUUCGGGAUUGCGGGGGGGCGGAUGAUGGCCUCCCGUGCGCCUAGCCGCGCGGUUGGCAUAAAUACCAAGUCCUCGGCGACGCACGCCACGACAAUCGGUGGUUGCGAAACCUCGGUUGCCCGUCGUGUGCGUUCGUCGCGCAUCGAGGGCUCGAAAAAAUGCUCGUCUCCGGCUGGGCUUUCAACGCGACCCCAGGUCAGGCGGGGUUACCCGCUGAAUUUAAGCAUAUCAAUAAGCGGAGGA